AAACCUGAGAAACCCGAAAGUUCGAAUGAGAUGAUUCAGUAUCUUACAUUUGGUCGAACAUUGCAUUUUAUGUGAUAAUUUUUUAAUGGCUUUACGGUCAUUAAUAUUACACUAAUUUGUAAUGAUAAUUUGGCUAUGGAGAUAUGCACUUCUUCUCUAGUAGGACGUUGCAACUCAUUGGAUGUUAAUCUAAGAACCCAAAGGCUAGCCUAUUUUAUAUAUAUUUCGGUAUAUGUGAUUUAGACCUUGGUGCUUCCCGAUUAACUUGUUCGAUGGUAUAUCAUAAUAUUGGGCCGCCUUAUAUGGCAUUCAAACUAUUUUCAAGUGUGUACGGAUCAAAUUUUGGCUAUCAGACCUAGUGCUGUUACUGAAACCGUUAUAUUGUUGGAUUAUAGUAUAUUGAAUAGACCUUUUAUAUUGGUUAGCAACGCUUUAGCUUUGGGUACUUUCAGGAC
Molecule: ribosomal RNA, 455 nt
Filed under: Panorpa chengi
Lineage: Eukaryota; Metazoa; Arthropoda; Insecta; Mecoptera; Panorpidae
Description: partial 28S ribosomal RNA
Source: RNAcentral